UGAGGAAUAUUGGGCAAUGCCCGCAAGGGUGACCCAGCAACGCCGCGUGGAGGAUGAAUGUCGUAAGAUUGUAAACUCCUGUUAGAGGGGAAGAAUAGUACCGGUUGGACCGGUAUAUGACUGUACCCUCAGAGAAAGCCCCGGCUAACUACGUGCCAGCAGCCGCGGUAAUACGUAGGGAGCAAGCGUUGUUCGGAUUUACUGGGCGUAAAGGGCGCGUAGGCGGCGCGGUAAGUCACUUGUGAAAUCUCUGAGCUUAACUCAGAACGGCCAAGUGAUACUGCUGUGCUAGAGUGCGGAAGAGGCAACCGGAAUUCUUGGUGUAGCGGUGAAAUGCGUAGAUAUCAAGAGGAACACCUGAGGCGAAGGCGGGUUGCUGGGCCGACACUGACGCUGAUGCGCGAAAGCCAGGGGAGCAAACG
RNAcentral lists this ribosomal RNA (422 nucleotides) under uncultured bacterium. RNAcentral describes it as "bacterial SSU rRNA". It matches the Rfam family "Bacterial small subunit ribosomal RNA", at positions 355 to 774 of the family's 1533-position model. The record is from RNAcentral.